UGCAAAGGUAGCAUAAUCACUUGCCUUUUAAUUGGGGGCUAGAAUGAAAGAGAGGACGAAAUUCAGACUAUUUGUUUGUAGAUUGAAAUUAACAUAAAGGUUAAAAGGCCUUUAUUUACCAAAGGGACGAUAAGACCCUAUAAAACUUUACUAUAAAUAUAAAGUUACACAGGCAAAGCUUAAAUUUUAUAGUUUAACUGGGGCGGUCUAUAUAAAAACAAUUGAAAUAAAAAUAUUUUAAAUAGAAAUAGAGAGCUUUAAUUUGAAAUAAAUAAGUUACUUUAGGGAUAACAGCAUAAUUCUCCCAGAGAGUCCUAAUUGGCGGGAGAGCUUAUGACCUCGAUGUUGAAUUGGGAGAUCUGAUGUAAGUAGAAAUAUAUUAAGACGGUCUGUUCGACCUUUAAAUUCCC
This 410-nucleotide ribosomal RNA is filed under the name Proasellus beroni. Its description in RNAcentral is "partial 16S ribosomal RNA". It matches the Rfam family "Bacterial large subunit ribosomal RNA", at positions 1949 to 2597 of the family's 2925-position model. Lineage: Eukaryota; Metazoa; Arthropoda; Malacostraca; Isopoda; Asellidae. The record is from RNAcentral.